UAGGGAAUCUUCCGCAAUGGACGAAAGUCUGACGGAGCAACGCCGCGUGAACGAUGAAGGUCUUCGGAUCGUAAAGUUCUGUUAUCAGGGAAGAACAAGUAUCGGAGUAACUGCCGGUACCUUGACGGUACCUGACCAGAAAGCCACGGCUAACUACGUGCCAGCAGCCGCGGUAAUACGUAGGUGGCAAGCGUUGUUCGGAAUUAUUGGGCGUAAAGCGCGCGCAGGCGGUUUCUUAAGUCUGAUGUGAAAUCUCGUGGCUCAACCACGAGCGGCCAUUGGAAACUGGGAAACUUGAGUGCAGAAGAGAAGAGCGGAAUUCCACGUGUAGCGGUGAAAUGCGUAGAGAUGUGGAGGAACACCAGUGGCGCAGGCGGCUCUUUGGUCUGUAACUGACGCUGAGGCGCGAAAGCGUGGGGAGCAAACAGGAUUAGAUACCCUGGUAGUCCACGCCGUAAACGAUGAGUGCUAAGUGUUAGGGGGUUUCCGCCCCUUAGUGCUGCAGCAAACGCAUUAAGCACUCCGCCUGGGGAGUACGGCCGCAAGGCUGA
RNAcentral lists this ribosomal RNA (551 nucleotides) under uncultured compost bacterium. RNAcentral's name for it is "bacterial SSU rRNA". It matches the Rfam family "Bacterial small subunit ribosomal RNA", at positions 355 to 897 of the family's 1533-position model. The record is from RNAcentral.